RNAcentral lists this ribosomal RNA (292 nucleotides) under uncultured bacterium. RNAcentral describes it as "partial 16S ribosomal RNA". It matches the Rfam family "Bacterial small subunit ribosomal RNA", at positions 505 to 796 of the family's 1533-position model. The record is from RNAcentral.
GUGUCAGCAGCCGCGGUAAUACGUAGGGGGCAAGCGUUGUCCGGAAUCAUUGGGCGUAAAGAGCGCGUAGGCGGUCCGGUAAGUCCGCUGUGAAAGUCGGGGGCUCAACCCUCGAAUGCCGGUGGAUACUGCCGGGCUAGAGUCCGGAAGAGGCGAGUGGAAUUCCUGGUGUAGCGGUGAAAUGCGCAGAUAUCAGGAGGAACACCGAUGGCGAAGGCAGCUCGCUGGGACGGUACUGACGCUGAGGCGCGAAAGCGUGGGGAGCAAACAGGAUUAGAUACCCCUGUAGUCC